GCCGCGUGUAUGAAGAAGGCCUUCGGGUUGUAAAGUACUUUCAGCGAGGAGGAAGGCGUUAAGGUUAAUAACCUUGGCGAUUGACGUUACCCGCAGAAGAAGCACCGGCUAACUCCGUGCCAGCAGCCGCGGUAGAUGACCAGCCACACUGGAACUGAGACACGGUCCAGACUCCUACGGGAGGCA
Molecule: unclassified non-coding RNA, 186 nt
Filed under: Klebsiella aerogenes
Lineage: Bacteria; Pseudomonadati; Pseudomonadota; Gammaproteobacteria; Enterobacterales; Enterobacteriaceae
Description: contains 16S-23S intergenic spacer region
Rfam family: Bacterial small subunit ribosomal RNA (bases 1-144)
Source: RNAcentral